UAAAAUGAGGAACAAAAAUAUACUAGGAAUAGAAUUUUGAUAUAAUUUUUUUUUCAAUAAAAAUAGAAUUUAUUUAAACAAGUUGGAAAGGGAGGAAAAUAUAUGGAAAAAUAUAAAGAUGUAUAUACUGUAUGAACGCAGUGGUAUAAAUAUGAACGAUACAGUAGCGUCAACAUCUGUCUGACUUUAUCCAUCAUUUCCAGAUACAGUAAGGUGGAACUGAGGAAACAAACAGAGAUGGAAAACACUGCAUUUGAAGAAUAGGGACUUGGAACAGAAAAGUCUGCUUCAUUAAGUCUGUGGUUACUUUGUUCUCUGGAUCAAAGUCUCUUGUAAUACCGACUCACUGCUGUGAACCGUAUUUGUACACGGAAAGUUACAAUUACUGUGAAACAUGAAGAAGCAGCAUGACUCUCUACACACCCUAAAUGCCCCGUGAAGAUUGAAAAUCCCAGUGAUCAUGAACCAUUCUGCUCUCUGGACCUCUCUGAUCCAUCCUAAGGUCCGGUUUCUGGUUGUUUCAUCACCUCUCACUGCUGAUGAGGAUGUUCCACAUGGACAGCCUGGAGAUACAGGAGAUUACUGUGGAAGGUGUCACAUAGAAAUCAUUUGAAUUGAGGAAUACAGACAGUUUCUGUCCAACAAAAAUAGACAUGUUUAACCUACUAUCAAUUUCUUGGUUACAAAACCGUGGUAUAAUGUAAAAUUUAAAAAAUAUUGCACGUUAUCAAAGGGAAAAUGAUUUAUGAUCACUCUCCGGUGUCACCAAGUGUGAGCAGCAAUUGUCUUCCCCUUGAAUUCUGCGUUCGGGUCUGAGCUUUCAGUAUCUCAAGAUUCCUCUUGGCCCGGUGUAUUAGCAGGAGCUCAUCACAGCAUCACACCAAAGCACAAACACUUUCCUUCCUCUCUAGUAAAUUUAUACAGCAUAGACUUGUUGAGUGCCUACUCAAAAUUUCAUGUACACCCCAGAAACCUUUUGAAAAGCCACUUCAGGCAGUACAUCUUCAUUCCUCUCUAAGUUUAUAGUAGUUUGGAGCCUUUGAGCAGCCACAGUAACUAUCAAAGGGGCAGUAGAGAUGCUUCUGCUAUUGCAGCCUUUAAUCUGGAACCUCCUGUCGGACAUUAUGACCUCUGUGGGAUCUGCAAAAUAUCUCAAAUAAUUUUUUCUUUAGAAAAAAAACUAAACAAAAUUCAAUGCAGUAUCAUCUUGGUGAAAAAUUGAUUUUUUAGUAUGA
Molecule: long non-coding RNA, 1235 nt
Organism: Tachysurus fulvidraco (yellow catfish)
Lineage: Eukaryota; Metazoa; Chordata; Actinopteri; Siluriformes; Bagridae
Exons: 3
Source: RefSeq, a predicted model, not a curated record